RNAcentral lists this ribosomal RNA (497 nucleotides) under uncultured bacterium. Its description in RNAcentral is "partial 16S ribosomal RNA". It matches the Rfam family "Bacterial small subunit ribosomal RNA", at positions 28 to 507 of the family's 1533-position model. The record is from RNAcentral.
GAUGAACGCUGGCGGCGUGCCUAAUACAUGCAAGUCGAGCGAACAGACGAGGAGCUUGCUCCUCUGACGUUAGCGGCGGACGGGUGAGUAACACGUGGAUAACCUACCUAUAAGACUGGGAUAACUGCGGGAAACCGGAGCUAAUACCGGAUAAUAUAUUGAACCGCAUGGUUCAAUAGUGAAAGACGGUUUUGCUGUCACUUAUAGAUGGAUCCGCGCCGCAUUAGCUAGUUGGUAAGGUAACGGCUUACCAAGGCAACGAUGCGUAGCCGACCUGAGAGGGUGAUCGGCCACACUGGAACUGAGACACGGUCCAUACUCCUACGGUAGGCACCAGUAGGGAAUCUUCCGCAAUGGGCGAAAGCCUGACGGAGCAACGCCGCGUGAGUGAUGAAGGUCUUCGGAUCGUAAAACUCUGUUAUUAGUGAAGAACAAAUGUGUACGUAACUGUGCACGUCUUGACGGUACCUAAUCAGAAAGCCACGGCUAACUACGUG